UCUCUCUCUCUCUCUCUCUCUUAGUUCUAGUUGUAAAAGCAAAGGUUUAUCCUCAAUAAUCAUUACUUUAUAGUGGUGCUAGGUUCAAAGUAUGGUGCGGCUGAGAGAUGAUGGUAAUUUGGUGGAACAAAGAAUUUAAUGGCAUGAAAAUCAAUUUGUUUGUUAAUGGUGGUGGUUUGUUGCUAAAAUACUAACUUAGGUUCCAUGAGUUGCAGUUUUAGCAGGAAUCAUACUGAGAUCCAUGGAGAAAUACAGAUCUUCGAAGUAAAUGGUGUUGGCUCAUUAUAAAUGCACUGGGUUGGUUUUGUAGUUGAUAGCAAUCGAGUGAAUCCAAAAUCAACUCCCUAGAAUAUUGCAAAAUGUAACCCUUAAAUGCAUUGGGUUGGUUUGUAGUUGAUACUAAUGAUGACCAGACUCCCUUGAAUCUUGCAAAAUGUAACCCAAACCAACUCGUGCUUGUGUGAACCCAAGUAGGUCAGUAUCUUCUAAUGACAUUAUUAACAAGAAACGAAAUGCAUAUUCCAACGAUAUUGUAAACAAAAGAAUUGUGUCAAGCUGAUGGCAAAAGUGAAAAACGGUGUGCAAGAAAUAUGGUUUAGAAAUGUGAAAAUGCAGAGUAAACUUUUAAUUCCCCAUUUCACCAUAAAGAAACUGCAUAUGCCUUAUUCUUUGGCAAGUGUAACUUGAAUCCUUUCUGGUUUCAUUUUAUAAUAACUGCAAUUAUUUAUCCUUUUUUUUUUGAAGAAAAAAAAUUUAGUUCUUAUUUGUUUUCCAGUCUUUUGAUAUUUUAAAACCAUUUUUCAGACCCUCUUAUUGCUUUUAAACA
RNAcentral lists this unclassified non-coding RNA (826 nucleotides) under Hevea brasiliensis (rubber tree). Lineage: Eukaryota; Viridiplantae; Streptophyta; Magnoliopsida; Malpighiales; Euphorbiaceae. The record is from RNAcentral.